AUUGAACGCUGGCGGCAGGCUUAACACAUGCAAGUCGAGCGGGGGAAGGUAGCUUGCUACCGGACCUAGCGGCGGACGGGUGAGUAAUGCUUAGGAAUCUGCCUAUUAGUGGGGGACAACAUCUCGAAAGGGAUGCUAAUACCGCAUACGUCCUACGGGAGAAAGCAGGGGAUCUUCGGACCUUGCGCUGAUAGAUGAGCCUAAGUCGGAUUAGCUAGUUGGUGGGGUAAAGGCCUACCAAGGCGACGAUCUGUAGCGGGUCUGAGAGGAUGAUCCGCCACACUGGGACUGAGACACGGCCCAGACUCCUACGGGAGGCAGCAGUGGGGAAUAUUGGACAAUGGGGGGAACCCUGAUCCAGCCAUGCCGCGUGUGUGAAGAAGGCCUUAUGGUUGUAAAGCACUUUAAGCGAGGAGGAGGCUACUCUAGUUAAUACCUAGGGAUAGUGGACGUUACUCGCAGAAUAAGCACCGGCUAUCUCUGUGCCAGCCGCCGCUGUAA
Molecule: ribosomal RNA, 501 nt
Filed under: uncultured bacterium
Lineage: Bacteria
Description: partial 16S ribosomal RNA
Rfam family: Bacterial small subunit ribosomal RNA
Source: RNAcentral